This 303-nucleotide long non-coding RNA is filed under the name Phoenix dactylifera (date palm). Its description in RNAcentral is "long non-coding RNA (PDAC_LNC008111)". Lineage: Eukaryota; Viridiplantae; Streptophyta; Magnoliopsida; Arecales; Arecaceae. The record is from RNAcentral.
UUUGUGGUUGAAAGGGCUGAGGGGCAACCAAAUCAGAGAAAAACUACAUUGCACUUGGAUAUCGUACACAUUGAAGUUUUAUGCCUGGGGCUCUAUGAUCCUAGUUGUAUGUAAAGAUCCAACAAGAUAUGGAGCCUAAUCAUUCGAGUGGUCAAAGAUCAGGGCUGAGGGGCAACCAAAUCAGAGAGAAGCUACAUUGCACUUGGAUAUCGUACACAUCGAAGUUUUAUGCUUGGGCCUCUAUGAUCCUAGUUGUAUGUAAAGAUCCAACAAGAUAUGGAGCCUAAUCAUUCGAGUGGUCAA